UGAAAUGAUGAUAGGUUUUGUCGCCCCAGUCUUAAUUUGCACCUCGAGGUGUAACAUGGUGACUGACAUGUUUAUCUGAUCU
This is a small nucleolar RNA of Lotus japonicus, 82 nucleotides long. RefSeq annotates it as small nucleolar RNA U31b. The record is from RefSeq and is a predicted model, not a curated record. NCBI's taxonomy places the organism in Eukaryota, Viridiplantae, Streptophyta, Magnoliopsida, Fabales, Fabaceae. The transcript has a single exon.